Ceratitis capitata (Mediterranean fruit fly) is the source of this 78-nucleotide small nucleolar RNA. RefSeq annotates it as small nucleolar RNA Me28S-Gm3113. NCBI's taxonomy places the organism in Eukaryota, Metazoa, Arthropoda, Insecta, Diptera, Tephritidae. The transcript has a single exon. The record is from RefSeq and is a predicted model, not a curated record.
AAUAUUUUUGUGAUGAUAUAACGAUUUACCUUGGGACACCUAUGAAAAUUUUUGAUUAGUGUAAAUAUUCUGAUAUUU